AUUGAACGCUGGCGGCAUGCUUUACACAUGCAAGUCGAACGGUAACAGGCCUUCGGGUGCUGACGAGUGGCGAACGGGUGAGUAAUGCAUCGGAACGUACCCAGAGGUGGGGGAUAACGCAGCGAAAGCUGUGCUAAUACCGCAUGUGGUCUGAGGAUGAAAGCGGGGGACCGCGCAGCAAUGUUUGGCCUCGCGCCUUUGGAGCGGCCGAUGUCGGAUUAGCUAGUUGGUGGGGUAAAGGCCUACCAAGGCGACGAUCCGUAGCUGGUCUGAGAGGACGACCAGCCACACUGGGACUGAGACACGGCCCAGACUCCUACGGGAGGCAGCAGUGGGGAAUUUUGGACAAUGGGCGCAAGCCUGAUCCAGCAAUGCCGCGUGCGGGAAGAAGGCCUUCGGGUUGUAAACCGCUUUUGGCAGGAACGAAACGGUGUCCGCUAAUACCGGGCGCUAAUGACGGUACCUGCAGAAUAAGCACCGGCUAACUACGUG
Molecule: ribosomal RNA, 492 nt
Filed under: uncultured bacterium
Lineage: Bacteria
Description: partial 16S ribosomal RNA
Rfam family: Bacterial small subunit ribosomal RNA
Source: RNAcentral